GAUGGGUGCUACAAAGUCCUGGUAGACCACUAAUCAAAACUGUAAAAGGCCUUCACAUAUCACAGACUCAUCUACCUGGUCACUUGGAACACUGGUCUGUUAAAGUUGACACAACUCUAACUGAACUAAAGCUGACAAAACUGUUGCAUCAGAGAAUCACCAAAAAGCAUGGUAAGUUAGGAAUAACUAUACAAAAUAUAUAUCAUUAACAUUAACUCAUUGUAUGACAUACAACAUCUAUAAAGUAUAGGGUAAAGGGCUAAAAAGGUAACACAGUGAGAAUAAAUUUAGUGAGACCAAUAGUAAAAAUCAAUGGGGCAGGCACGGUGGCUCACGUCUGUAAUCCCAGCACUUUGGGAGGCCGAGGCAGGCAGAUCACCUGAGGUCAGGAGUUCAAGACCAGCCUGGCCAACAUGGUGAAACCCCAUCUCUACUAAAAACACAAAAAUUAGCUGGGUGUGGUGGCAUGUGCCUGUAAUCCCAGCUACUCAGGAGGCUGAGGCAGGAGAAUCGCUUGAACCUGGGAGGCAAAGAUUGCAGUGAACUGAGAUUGCGCCAUUGCACUCCAGCUUGGGCGACAGAGCAAGAUUCCAUCUCAAAAAAAAAAAAAAAAAAAAUCAGUGAGAUCACUAUAGAGCCUUCUGACCUCCUGAAUGGUUUUAAAAAUAAAAACUUUGCUCAAAAUAAGUGACACUUCUUAGAAAGUGGGGAAAUGGAAAAAGAUUAAGUGUACUCAGUAGGACUGGAUAUCUGAUAGUACAUUUUCCUCCAGGACUCCAAAUAGAGUGGUCAAAUGAAGGUUUAACACUGAUCUCCAGGCUGAAACUGUUACACACAUAAACCACAAUCUUAAUCAUCUCAUCCUGUUUCUGCAACCAAGGAAGUCAUCAUUCAUUGUGACAUCAUGUUCGGGGACCAGGCAAAUAGAGGUGAGGUCACAACAUAGGAAAGUUGCUUGGUGUAUAAUUAGUGUGGGGAGCACAGGGGGGUGGAUUACAAUGCACAGACAAAUUCUAAUCCAUAGCCUGUAAUUUGAGGGUUGGGUCAAUCAUAAUUUGGGUGCAAGCACACCUACUUCCUUUUUUAAUAAGGGAGAAUUUAGCUCUUGUUACCCACAAGAGUUCUCAAAGUAGAAAAUAAUAAACCAUGUUCUUGAAGCCAGUACUGAAUUAUCAAAGCUGAAGGAAGGGAAGCUAAAGAAAGAUUAGGCAACUUGGGGUACAAAUGCGUUCAAAAUCCUCUCCGUCAGUAUGCCAAGUCUCUGGAUACCAGUGACUUAUUUGCCCUGGGGUGAGAGAAAACUCCAUUUUCCAUCAAGCUGGAGAAGCAGCCUUUGUUUUUCAGCCAUGGAUAAGGCCACUUAUUAGGAGGACAACAAGAAGUGAAAUCUCAGGAGGAUGCUUACCAGGAAUCAGGAAACUGGAAAAACAAUGGCCUGCUGGGACAGAUCUCCAAGCCCUAGAGGACCACAGGUGAAUGUCACCUGUGGACCAGUAAGACAACAUGACACGUAAGGCAGGAGAAUCACUUGAACCUGGAAGGCGGAGAUUGCAGUGAACUGAGAUCACACCAAUGCACUCUAGCCUGGGCAACAGAGUGAGACUCUGUCUCAAAAAAGAAAAAAAACAAAGACAAUACGACAUACCUAGAUUCUAAUUCAACACAGAAAAUGCAAAACAAAUAAAUAAAUAAAUAAAAUAAACAUAAAACCAAAUUAGGUUUGUUUACUGUAGAAUCAUUUUACUAUUGAUGGGGCCGGGCGAGGGGAAGGAAUCUAGACGUUGUCACCUCCAG
This 1794-nucleotide long non-coding RNA is filed under the name Homo sapiens (human). Its description in RNAcentral is "HSALNT0389229". The record is from RNAcentral. Lineage: Eukaryota; Metazoa; Chordata; Mammalia; Primates; Hominidae.